Molecule: ribosomal RNA, 585 nt
Filed under: uncultured bacterium
Lineage: Bacteria
Description: partial 16S ribosomal RNA
Rfam family: Bacterial small subunit ribosomal RNA
Source: RNAcentral
UGGGGAAUUUUGGACAAUGGGCGAAAGCCUGAUCCAGCAAUGCCGCGUGUGUGAAGAAGGCCUUCGGGUUGUAAAGCACUUUUGUCCGGAAAGAAAUCCUUGGCUCUAAUACAGUCGGGGGAUGACGGUACCGGAAGAAUAAGCACCGGCUAACUACGUGCCAGCAGCCGCGGUAAUACGUAGGGUGCAAGCGUUAAUCGGAAUUACUGGGCGUAAAGCGUGCGCAGGCGGUUUGCUAAGACCGAUGUGAAAUCCCCGGGCUUAACCUGGGAACUGCAUUCGUGACUGCAAGGCUAGAGUAUGGCAGAGGGGGGUAGAAUUCCACGUGUAGCAGUGAAAUGCGUAGAGAUGUGGAAGAAUACCGAUGGCGAAGGCAGCCCCCUGGGCCAAUACUGACGCUCAUGCACGAAAGCGUGGGGAGCAAACAGGAUUAGAUACCCUGGUAGUCCACGCCCUAAACGAUGUCAACUAGUUGUUGGGGAUUCAUUUCCUUAGUAACGUAGCUAACGCGUGAAGUUGACCGCCUGGGGAGUACGGUCGCAAGAUUAAAACUCAAAGGAAUUGACGGGGUCAUAGCUGUUUCCU